AAUUGCUGAGUCGGGGGUUGGGGGAGGACAUGAAGUUACAAUGGAAGCUCCAUGCUACUAUCAAAGAAAUUAUAAAAGGAUCAGUGCUGUUCUAAGAAACAUAAGGAUGAGUUCCCAGGAAAUAUUCAAGGAGUUAGAAGUACAAAGCUGCAAGAGCCUAUUGGGUCCAAGCCUUCCUUGCAGAUAUCUGAAAUGUUUGGAGGAGCAAAGAAGUGAAUGAACUGUAUUCAACAUCUAAGCUGGAAAAAAAAAAUGCAAGAUUCAGAAAAGGAAAAUACAAGCCAAGCCCCUCAUCCUCCCCAAAUAAAAUAUAUAUUUAAUAUAAUAAUAUGAACCCG
This 338-nucleotide long non-coding RNA is filed under the name Bos indicus x Bos taurus (hybrid cattle). RNAcentral's name for it is "lncRNA (ENSBIXG00005005405.1)". Lineage: Eukaryota; Metazoa; Chordata; Mammalia; Artiodactyla; Bovidae. The record is from RNAcentral.